GGACUUCGGCUGAUUUUCGCUAGGGUGAGGAUGGGCGUUCGGGCUUUCAUCGCGGAUUCGGAUCGCCGUACUCUCUUAGGAAAAGAAGACCAGAUGAUAAUGAGGAUGACAACUACCGUCCCCCUCGUUCGAAGAGGAUUAAGAAGGACCAGGACAUACAGGAACAUCAUGCUAUAGAGUCUGGAUUUUCCUGGCUUCAUACAUCCCUCCUAGCUCUCGCCUAGUUAAUCCACAAGCCUCCACUUUCACUUUUCUUCCUGGAGCAGGGCUCAGUGUGGCCCCCAGCUCAGACUAGACCCCCACGGAUCCACUGCAGAAAUGGGAUCCAAUGUCAAUUUCCGUGCCCUCAUGUAUAGCCACUGUGAGUAGCUCUCAAGAGGCCUCAGCAGCCCCUCAGCCUUCCUCUUCAGAAAAGCUAAGCAUGGGUCUCAGCAUCUUGAGCGUCAGCCCCAGCCCCCGCUCCAGUGUCCUGCUUCUCUGUCAGAGGGGCUGUUCCAGAGCAGGCCCGGGAGAAGAAGGCCUGUGGCAGCAGUACUGGGAGAAGCAGGCUUUCCUCAGAGGAAGAAAGUCUUCCUGAGGCAUUCGAGACGCUGGCACCGGGAUCACAUGGCACCUUACCUGCUUGAAAGUGAUCUCAGAGGCUUUCCCUCAGGUGACAAAGCUCAGAAUCAGUUCUGAUGUCAGGGCCACGUGCAGAAUAUUGCUGGGAUGAGUGGGCAGAAGAACGCGGCCCCUAACCCUCCCUCCUGGGAAAUGCUGGUGCAGGGUCUCAAUGGCCUUACCCUCAGCUUGGGAGCCAACAGACCCGUCCCCCUGCCAGAGGAACCUUGGCAGCAGCAGGAGCCAGAGGACAUGCGCCAGCUGGAGAGGCAGCAGGAAAACCUGAAGAUGUUCCAGAGGAUGCUCAAGUAGAGGAUGUAAGAAGGCGGAGGUGCUGACUCACAGAUGAUAAAUACAUUUAGAAGGUGCUGCAUUGGUGUCUUAUGGGUGUGAACUCCUCUGAGGUCAAAGCAGUCCACUGCCAGUGGAUGUGUCCCAACACUUGUGCUAUGAUGUGAAUUGUCCUUGGAAAGAUCUCAACUACCCUGCCUGUCUUUUAGCAUGCCUUUUUGGAUGUGGUGCUAAGUGUUAGCCUAUACAGAAGAAACCUGGGUACACGUGAUCCCCAAAUAUGUGUGAUGUGAUUCAUAUACUGAGAGUUUUUACUGAUUUUUCUUAAGCUCAAUACCUCCUUCAACUUCUUGUUAAAAAGAACUGAUACCAUUUGUAUAUCUAUGUAUAUCUGUGUAUAUAGAGAGAAGACAUACAUCCACCUGCC
Molecule: long non-coding RNA, 1318 nt
Filed under: Mus musculus (house mouse)
Lineage: Eukaryota; Metazoa; Chordata; Mammalia; Rodentia; Muridae
Description: partial transmembrane protein 29 transcript nt-A3
Source: RNAcentral